AAAUGAAUAGACGGGGGCCCGCACAAGCGGAGGAACAUGUGGUUUAAUUCGAUGAUACGCGAGGAACCUUACCUGGGCUAGAACGCUUCUGGAAUCAUGCCGAAAGGUGUGAGCCGGCAACGGCCGGGAGCGAGGUGCUGCAUGGUUGUCGUCAGCUCGUGCCGUGAGGUGUCGGGUUAAGUCCCAUAACGAGCGCAACCCCUACCGUUAGUUGCCAGCGGGUCAAGCCGGGCACUCUAAGGGAACUGCCGGCGUAAGCCGCGAGGAAGGCGGGGAUGACGUCAAAUCAGCACGGCCCUUACGUCCAGGGCUACACACGUGUUACAAUGGCCGGUACAGAGGGCAGCCACCCCGCGAGGGGGCGCGAAUCCCGAAAGCCGGUCUCAGUUCGGAUCGGAGUCUGGAACCCGACUCCGUGAAGCUGGAUUCGCUAGUAAUCGCGCAUCAGCCAUGGCGCGGUGAAUACGUUCCCGGGCCUUGUACACACCGCCCGU
This 494-nucleotide ribosomal RNA is filed under the name uncultured bacterium. RNAcentral's name for it is "bacterial SSU rRNA". It matches the Rfam family "Bacterial small subunit ribosomal RNA", at positions 903 to 1397 of the family's 1533-position model. The record is from RNAcentral.